UGGGGAAUAUUGCGCAAUGGGCGAAAGCCUGACGCAGCGACGCCGCGUGAGGGAUGACGGCCUUCGGGUUGUAAACCUCUUUCAGCUCUGACGAAGCGAGAGUGACGGUAGGAGCAGAAGAAGCACCGGCCAACUACGUGCCAGCAGCCGCGGUAAUACGUAGGGUGCAAGCGUUGUCCGGAAUUAUUGGGCGUAAAGAGCUCGUAGGCGGUCUGUCGCGUCGAAUGUGAAAACCCGGGGCUCAACCCCGGGCCUGCAUUCGAUACGGGCAGACUAGAGUUCGGUAGGGGAGUCUGGAAUUCCUGGUGUAGCGGUGAAAUGCGCAGAUAUCAGGAGGAACACCGGUGGCGAAGGCGGGACUCUGGGCCGAUACUGACGCUGAGGAGCGAAAGCGUGGGGAGCGAACAGG
RNAcentral lists this ribosomal RNA (409 nucleotides) under uncultured prokaryote. Its description in RNAcentral is "bacterial SSU rRNA". It matches the Rfam family "Bacterial small subunit ribosomal RNA", at positions 355 to 776 of the family's 1533-position model. The record is from RNAcentral. RNAcentral also lists the same sequence under 1 other name.